This 514-nucleotide ribosomal RNA is filed under the name uncultured bacterium. Its description in RNAcentral is "bacterial SSU rRNA". It matches the Rfam family "Bacterial small subunit ribosomal RNA", at positions 9 to 513 of the family's 1533-position model. The record is from RNAcentral.
GAGUUUGAUCCUGGCUCAGGACGAACGCUGGCGGCGUGCCUAACUCAUGCAAGUCGAACGGAGAUACGCGCUGAAUGGAUGGAGCUUGCUUUUGAAAUUCUUGUGUAUCUUAGUGGCGGACGGGUGAGUAACGCGUGAGCAACCUGCCUUUCAGAGGGGGAUAACGUUUGGAAACGAACGCUAAUACCGCAUGAGACCACGGUACUGCAUAGUACAGUGGCCAAAGGAGCAAUCCGCUGAAAGAUGGGCUCGCGUCCGAUUAGAUAGUUGGCGGGGUAACGGCCCACCAAGUCGACGAUCGGUAGCCGGACUGAGAGGUUGAACGGCCACAUUGGGACUGAGACACGGCCCAGACUCCUACGGGAGGCAGCAGUGAGGGAUAUUGGUCAAUGGGGGCAACCCUGAACCAGCAACGCCGCGUGAGGGAAGACGGUUUUCGGAUUGUAAACCUCUGUCCUCUGUGAAGAUAAUGACGGUAGCAGAGGAGGAAGCUCCGGCUAACUACGUGCCAGCA